GUGUCAGCAGCCGCGGUAAGACGGAGGGGGCUAGCGUUGUUCGGAAUUACUGGGCGUAAAGGGCGUGUAGGCGGAUCGGCCAGUCAGAGGUGAAAUCCCUGGGCUCAACCCAGGAACUGCCUUUGAUACUGCCGAUCUAGAGUCCGGGAGAGGAUCGUGGAAUUCCCAGUGUAGAGGUGAAAUUCGUAGAUAUUGGGAAGAACACCAGUGGCGAAGGCGGCGAUCUGGACCGGUACUGACGCUGAGGCGCGAAAGCGUGGGGAGCAAACAGGAUUAGAUACCCUGGUAGUCCACGCCGUAAACGAUGUCUGCUAGUCGUUGGGGGGCGUUGCCCUUCAGUGACGCCGCAAACGCAUUAAGCAGACCGCCUGGGGAGUACGGCCGCAAGGUUAAAACUUAAAGGAAUUGACGGGG
Molecule: ribosomal RNA, 414 nt
Filed under: uncultured prokaryote
Description: bacterial SSU rRNA
Rfam family: Bacterial small subunit ribosomal RNA
Source: RNAcentral